Molecule: long non-coding RNA, 1589 nt
Filed under: Salmo salar (Atlantic salmon)
Lineage: Eukaryota; Metazoa; Chordata; Actinopteri; Salmoniformes; Salmonidae
Description: lncRNA (ENSSSAG00000087188.1)
Source: RNAcentral
AUCAAGAUGAGGUGACAUGUGUGGGGGUAAUAGAGGAGUUUCUCUCUCUGUGUGUGUGUCUCUGCCUGUGUCUACAUGUAAGUAAUUUUGCAAAGCAGGUCCACAUAUACCUUUGCAUCUGUAAUGAAAUGAACAGCAGAGGUUGUAGAUGUCAUCCCGCUGUUGAUCCUUGAAUCUACACAAAUAUAAAAAAGGUACUUCAUUGAAGAUUUUUCGAUGUCUAGCUGUCUCCUGGACUGCUUUGAGUGCAGCGACAGACACACCUCAGAGAACUUGGCAGAGGAACUGUUGAGAGUGGCCAGAGAAUGGCAAGUAGAUGGAAAAGUGGUCUGUUGUGUUAGCGACAAUGCAGCUAACAUAACCAAAGCUAUGAAAAUGUUAAAAUGGACCCAUCAUCCAUGUCUUGCCCACACAAUCAACCUGAUUGUAAGAGAUGCUCUGAAGGUGAUGAAGCCCGCUGUGGACAAAGUGAAAGCAGCUGUGGAAUACUUCCACAGGAGCACAGUAGGUGCUGAAAAGCUAAAGUCUACACAACGCCAGAUGAGGAUGACUGAGCUGAGGCCUAAACAAGACUGCACUGUGGAAUUCAACAUUUAUAUGUUGAAGCGGUUUCUUGAGUCAAAGGAUGCCAUCAUCUCUACCCUGACCAUUGUCAAUGCACCUGUUGAUGCUCUGACCCAAGAGGAAUGGGAGGUGGUGGAGGAGGUGUGCAGAGUCCUGGAACCCUUUGAGCAGGUCACUGUGGAGAUCAGUGGAGAGAGCUAUGUGAGCAGCCUCAAAAAUGAUACUCCUGUUUAAGGGUCUGCUGCGAAUCACAGCCAGCCGCCAGAGAGAAGCAAAUGUAACCACAGGACAUGUGACAGAGUUGAUGGACACACUAUGUUCAUCAAUGGACAGAAAGUUCCACAGAAUGGAAUAUAAUCACGUGCUAUCAGAAACCGCUGCACUUGACCCCAGGUUUAAGAAGUUAGCCUUCAGUGAUGCCAGAGCGAUUGAUGAGGCUCUUCAAAGAAUAACCUCAGCAGCAGGGAGGGACAGCCCCAGCAGUCAGCUGGCUCAGGCACCAGGGCAACAGGAAGAUGAGGGAUCAGAUGGAGCAGAAGCACCAGCAGUAGUGCCACAAACAUCUGCUGUUUGGAUGCUGUUUGACGGCUCGUUCGAGAGGAGAGCAACUGGGGAUGCAGAACAAAGGAAUCCCUCAGCAGAUGCCAUAGUGGAGGUCCGAUCCUAUUUGGAGGAGCCCCUCCUCUGAGCUGGUGGAAGAACAAGGCCUCUGUCUACCCACGGCUUACUUAAGUCAUAACAGGGAGACUCUGCAUUGUGGCCACAUCCGUUCCCUCUGAGAGGGUCUUCUUGAAAACGGGACAAAUAAUUACUGAGAGAAGAAACUGCAUCAGCCCCUCGAAAGUGAGACAGCUUGCAUUUCUGAAUGCAAAUCUCUCAUAAAAGCAAAAUAUGGUCAGCAUUGCUGUGUGCUGCUGGUUAUAACAUGGCAAUAAAGAAGAGGGAGAAAAGAGGGGCCAGUUUAAUGUUUUAAGUGGGAUGCUGCAGUUUUGCACAUUGUUAUUUAUUUUUCUUUGAUAUGGUGC